Molecule: ribosomal RNA, 1062 nt
Filed under: uncultured Streptococcus sp.
Lineage: Bacteria; Bacillati; Bacillota; Bacilli; Lactobacillales; Streptococcaceae
Description: bacterial SSU rRNA
Rfam family: Bacterial small subunit ribosomal RNA
Source: RNAcentral
CCUACGGGAGGCAGCAGUAGGGUAAUUAGGCAAUGGGGGCAACCCUGACCGAGCAACGCCGCGUGAGUGAAGAAGGUUUUCGGAUCGUAAAGCUCUGUUGUAAGAGAAGAACGGGUGUGAGAGUGGAAAGUUCACACUGUGACGGUAGCUUACCAGAAAGGGACGGCUAACUACGUGCCAGCAGCCGCGGUAAUACGUAGGUCCCGAGCGUUGUCCGGAUUUAUUGGGCGUAAAGCGAGCGCAGGCGGUUUGAUAAGUCUGAAGUUAAAGGCUGUGGCUCAACCAUAGUUCGCUUUGGAAACUGUCAAACUUGAGUGCAGAAGGGGAGAGUGGAAUUCCAUGUGUAGCGGUGAAAUGCGUAGAUAUAUGGAGGAACACCGGUGGCGAAAGCGGCUCUCUGGUCUGUAACUGACGCUGAGGCUCGAAAGCGUGGGGAGCGAACAGGAUUAGAUACCCUGGUAGUCCACGCCGUAAACGAUGAGUGCUAGGUGUUGGAUCCUUUCCGGGAUUCAGUGCCGCAGCUAACGCAUUAAGCACUCCGCCUGGGGAGUACGACCGCAAGGUUGAAACUCAAAGGAAUUGACGGGGGCCCGCACAAGCGGUGGAGCAUGUGGUUUAAUUCGAAGCAACGCGAAGAACCUUACCAGGUCUUGACAUCCCGAUGCUAUUUCUAGAGAUAGAAAGUUACUUCGGUACAUCGGUGACAGGUGGUGCAUGGUUGUCGUCAGCUCGUGUCGUGAGAUGUUGGGUUAAGUCCCGCAACGAGCGCAACCCCUAUUGUUAGUUGCCAUCAUUCAGUUGGGCACUCUAGCGAGACUGCCGGUAAUAAACCGGAGGAAGGUGGGGAUGACGUCAAAUCAUCAUGCCCCUUAUGACCUGGGCUACACACGUGCUACAAUGGUUGGUACAACGAGUCGCAAGCCGGUGACGGCGAGCUAAUCUCUUAAAGCCAAUCUCAGUUCGGAUUGUAGGCUGCAACUCGCCUACAUGAAGUCGGAAUCGCUAGUAAUCGCGGAUCAGCACGCCGCGGUGAAUACGUUCCCGGGCCUUGUACACACCGCC